AGAAUCAACGCUGGCGGCGUGCCUAACACAUGCAAGUCGAACGAGAAAGUGGAGCAAUCCAUGAGUAAAGUGGCGCACGGGUGAGUAACACGUGACUAACCUACCCUUGAGUGGGGGGAUAACCUAGAGAAAUCUGGGCUAAUACCGCAUAAUACCUUCGGGUCAAAGGAGCAAUUCGCUUAAGGAGGGGGUCGCGGCCGAUUAGUUAGUUGGCGGGGUAAUGGCCCACCAAGACUAUGAUCGGUA
Molecule: ribosomal RNA, 246 nt
Filed under: uncultured bacterium
Lineage: Bacteria
Description: partial small subunit ribosomal RNA
Rfam family: Bacterial small subunit ribosomal RNA
Source: RNAcentral